GAAACAUCUAAGUAACCGCAGGAAAAGAAAUCAACCGAGAUUCCCAAAGUAGUGGCGAGCGAAAUGGGAUGAGCCUUGCACUCUUUAUUUGUAUUGUUAGCCGAACGCUCUGGAAAGUGCGGCCAUAGCAGGUGAUAGCCCUGUAGGCGAAAACAGUAUGAAAGAACUAGGUGUGCGACAAGUAGGGCGGGACACGUGAAAUCCUGUCUGAAGAUGGGGGGACCAUCCUCCAAGGCUAAAUACUCGUGAUCGACCGAUAGUGAACCAGUACCGUGAGGGAAAGGCGAAAAGAACCCCGGGAGGGGAGUGAAAUAGAUCCUGAAACCGCAUGCAUACAAACAGUCGGAGCCUCGUAAGGGGUGACGGCGUACCUUUUGUAUAAUGGGUCAGCGACUUACGUUCAGUAGCAAGCUUAACCGUAUAGGGCAGGCGUAGCGAAAGCGAGUCCGAAUAGGGCGUUCAGUUGCUGGGCGUAGACCCGAAACCAGGUGAUCUAUCCAUGGCCAGGAUGAAGGUGCGGUAACACGUACUGGAGGUCCGAACCCACUAACGUUGAAAAGUUAGGGGAUGAGCUGUGGAUAGGGGUGAAAGGCUAAACAAACCUGGAAAUAGCUGGUUCUCUCCGAAAACUAUUUAGGUAGUGCCUCGUGUCUCACCUUCGGGGGUAGAGCACUGUCAUGGUUGGGGGGUCUAUUGCAGAUUACCCCGCCAUAGCAAACUCCGAAUACCGAAGAGUGCAAUCACGGGAGACAGACAUCGGGUGCUAACGUCCGGUGUCAAGAGGGAAACAACCCAGACCGCCAGCUAAGG
RNAcentral lists this ribosomal RNA (810 nucleotides) under Burkholderia cenocepacia. RNAcentral describes it as "bacterial LSU rRNA". It matches the Rfam family "Bacterial large subunit ribosomal RNA", at positions 195 to 1044 of the family's 2925-position model. The record is from RNAcentral. Lineage: Bacteria; Pseudomonadati; Pseudomonadota; Betaproteobacteria; Burkholderiales; Burkholderiaceae.